Molecule: non-coding RNA, 29 nt
Filed under: Rattus norvegicus (Norway rat)
Lineage: Eukaryota; Metazoa; Chordata; Mammalia; Rodentia; Muridae
Source: RNAcentral
UGUGCAUGAGUUUCUGCUGCAACAGAGAU